This 548-nucleotide long non-coding RNA is filed under the name Elaeis guineensis (African oil palm). RNAcentral describes it as "long non-coding RNA (EGUI_LNC011972)". The record is from RNAcentral. Lineage: Eukaryota; Viridiplantae; Streptophyta; Magnoliopsida; Arecales; Arecaceae.
GGACCUUGUACUCUAGGUCGUCUCUUCUUUGAACUUUCAGAGUACUGGGGGUAAAUUCACUAUCAGCCUCAUCAAUGUAGUGUUCAUCUUAAUAAACUAGUUGAGGGCUAUGUUGGGAUGAAGCAUUCGGAGAAGGAGCUUCUUUCGAUAGUUGCUCCUCCUUUUGAAGCUGUUGAACAGCUACUAUUAGGGCUUGAACUUGCCGAACAAAGAAACUGAAUUGUUGAGGAUCAACAACAAUUGGUUGCUAUGGUGGUGCCUCAGGUAUUUCUUUUAGAGCAGAGGGAGAGGGAUGCUGCACUCGUGCUUUAACCAUCUUUUUCACAAAAGAAAUCAGAGAGAUCCUUUUUCUAGCAUCAAUCUAUUGCUAGAGGACUCAAAAUCUGGAGUAGAGUGGUCGACUUGGAUGAGAUUGGGUUGGAGCGAUCCUUACGAUCUGACGAAAAUUUUUUCAAUCUAUAAAAUUAGUCAAGAAAUCGAAUGAAGAUCUUUCGGUUCUGGACCCUCCAAUCCUUAAGUCAGUUUGAGCUUUGAGAAUAGGGAUGAAA